RNAcentral lists this ribosomal RNA (443 nucleotides) under uncultured bacterium. Its description in RNAcentral is "partial 16S ribosomal RNA". It matches the Rfam family "Bacterial small subunit ribosomal RNA", at positions 338 to 795 of the family's 1533-position model. The record is from RNAcentral.
CCUACGGGGGGCAGCAGUGGGGAAUAUUGCACAAUGGGGGAAACCCUGAUGCAGCGACGCCGCGUGAAGGAAGAAGGCUUUCGGGUUGUAAACUUCUUUUCUGAGGGACGAAGAAAGUGACGGUACCUCAGGAAUAAGCCACGGCUAACUACGUGCCAGCAGCCGCGGUAAUACGUAGGUGGCAAGCGUUAUCCGGAUUUAUUGGGUGUAAAGGGCGUGUAGGCGGGAAAGCAAGUCAGAUGUGAAAACUCAGGGCUCAACCCUGAGCCUGCAUUUGAAACUGUUUUUCUUGAGUGCUGGAGAGGCAAUCGGAAGUCCGUGUGUAGCGGUGAAAUGCGUAGAGAUACGGAGGAACACCAGUGGCGAAGGCGGAUUGCUGGACAGUAACUGACGCUGAGGCGCGAAAGCGUGGGGAGCAAACAGGAGUAGAUACCCGGGUAGUC